UUUUGAGAAACACAAAAGAGGAUCCGAUGUAAUACAAAAGGAGCAUGAUCCAUUUUAUUCCAGAGUAUUUCUUGUGGAUAAGUGGUGGAGGGCGGAGGCCACGGUACACAUGAUGUUCUUGGUCACCGACCAUCCUCUAGGUGUUGACCUGAAUAGCAUCGAUGGCCAAGGGUGCAGCGCAAAGAUGAUAGCGGCCGAUGGCGGUCUGACCUCCUGUAAUCAAG
Triticum dicoccoides is the source of this 224-nucleotide long non-coding RNA. RefSeq lists it as uncharacterized. Lineage: Eukaryota; Viridiplantae; Streptophyta; Magnoliopsida; Poales; Poaceae. The transcript has 3 exons. The record is from RefSeq and is a predicted model, not a curated record.